UUUAGCUAGCUUGAAUGCAAAGAGAUUUUGCUUCACGAAUUAUCUCAAAGUGUGUACACCUCUUCUGUUGGUUCUAGUAUUUUUUAUCCUAUUAAGGACAUUGACGCCGUAGCCGAGCGACCUUACAUUCCUCAAACUAGACGUGGAUCAUUUCUGGCGAAAGAAAAAAAAACUCGGACAGGAUGCACCUGUCUCUAAGAAGAAGGGAAAGAAAUCUGCAGCUAAAUAAUAAGGUGCACAGUUGUACCAGUUGUCUACUGGAAAUUGCCUGUUGAAACCUGAACAGGACAUCAAAUUGAAUUCUGGAUUCAUGUCUAAUGUAUGCAUUACUAACAUGCCAAUAACCUAAUGCAUUUCCGAAUACGCUUUGACGAAAUCACCACAUAUGACAUCGUCGCCCAAUAACCUGCAGACCUGCAAAUGUGCAUUUUAUUAUUUUUUUACAGAUGUUUGCUACUCUUCUUUUAAUAAUCGCGUUCCUAUAAAGUGCAAAGACUCCCUUUGUUAUAUAAUCUAACAUAUGAUAACUUUACUCAUAUAUUUUAUAGAUAAUUCCCGCCUUGAUAUUUAUGUUUUGUAAAUAUUAUGGUCACUUCAUAGAAUUGUUUCGACUAUUUCAACUUCCAUGUUUUUUGGAAAAGUAGAAAUUUUGAUUUUGUUCUUAUUUUCGUUUAGUUCACACGCUUUAGCUAUUAUAGAAAUUGUAAACUAAAUGAGAAGUGAAAUCUGAGAUCAAAGUAUUUUAUUAGAACAAAAAAGUUAAAUUCUUCAAGUUGAAAAAUAUAUAUUGCAAAACUUUAAUAUAUUAAAAGUAUUAUGUUGUGUGA
Molecule: long non-coding RNA, 827 nt
Organism: Hermetia illucens (black soldier fly)
Lineage: Eukaryota; Metazoa; Arthropoda; Insecta; Diptera; Stratiomyidae
Exons: 2
Source: RefSeq, a predicted model, not a curated record